Molecule: long non-coding RNA, 935 nt
Organism: Mytilus californianus (California mussel)
Lineage: Eukaryota; Metazoa; Mollusca; Bivalvia; Mytilida; Mytilidae
Exons: 5
Source: RefSeq, a predicted model, not a curated record
CUGCAAAUUCAAGAUGAACAAAAGCAGAUGUCAGCAAGAUUUAACAGUCGUAUAAAAAUCAUUUAUACGACUGUUGAGAAAAAAGUAAAACCCCGGGAAUGCGCUGAUGUUGACUUUUUAAAAGAUGGUGUUUUCGUAAUUUACCCAAGGGGUGAAAAUCAACCUAAACGUGCUUAUUGUGUUUGGCAAGACAACAGAAAAUGGACGGUAAUCCAACGACGUUUUGACUUCUCCGUUAAUUUCUUUAGAUCAUGGAAGGAAUACAAAGAAGGAUUUGGGAACGCUUCCGGAGAACAUUGGUUAGGAAAUGAUUUUAUUCACUCGAUAUCGACAAAUGGACGGCAUAGAGUGAAAUUCAUCUAAAGUAAAGAUGGAACAAAAAAAUAUGCAGAAUACUCAAAUUUCCGAAUCAGAGACGAAAAGAGUAAAUACAAGUUAAAAGUGUCAGGCUAUAGCGGAACUGCAGGCGAUUCCAUUGACAGUGUUGAUUCUCAAGGGAGGGCAAAUGGACAAAAAUUUUCAACUUAUGACCGGGACAAUGAUAAUAAUAAGAACUUUGCUUGUGCAAUAAUGAACAAAGGUGGAUGGUGGUACAAUUCAUGUGACUAUGCCAGUCUGAAUGACAUGGACAGCUAUAAAAUAAGUUGGUAUUUUCAUAUGGGUUUUCUAUUGGAUACAUCCAUGGUUAUGAUUACUAAAGUAUGAAAACGACGGCAAAAUGUUUUAUUACUGCAACAUUCUAUAGAAACAUGUUUAAAACAUUCGUCAAGCACUUUACAAUGAGUAAUCUUUACUUUAUGAAUGUCCAGAUAUAUAAAAGUGUACAGCUUUGUGGUGAGAUUGAAAGUAGUAAACCUGUAUGGGUUUACAUCCUCGUACUUUUUUGUGGUGACAUGUUGUCUUAUUGCAAUAAAGGAAAAGGGUCCUUAUUUCAA